CCCUGGGGGCAGUGUACUUGCUUUCCAAGUUGCCAAGUUGAUUAUCCGGGACUACUGGUGUGUUCUUCUACUUCCCGACAAGAACCAGAAAACCUUCCCACUCAAAAUUCCAGAAUGUAUAAUGUGCUGCGAAUCAGGUCCCAGGGAGUGGAGAAGAAGCUGAGAAUCCUAAUAGAAAACGAGACAGGAAGGCUACCUAAACUGUAAUAGAUUUUCCUGAAGCAAAUUUCAGUUGGGGGAGCAAUAAGCAUUU
Long non-coding RNA from Vombatus ursinus (common wombat), 253 nucleotides. RefSeq lists it as uncharacterized. NCBI's taxonomy places the organism in Eukaryota, Metazoa, Chordata, Mammalia, Diprotodontia, Vombatidae. The transcript has 4 exons. The record is from RefSeq and is a predicted model, not a curated record.